UCAACUGCAGAGAGUAGAGGUGAUAUAUAUGGGGGCUUGGCCCCAUGCCUAGAAGUUAACAACUGGCAGCUAUUGUUACUAUUCCCAGUCAUCCUGUUCAAGCCAUUACAAUCCUUAGGAGCUGGAGCCAAGGGCUGCAGGUAUCCUAGUGGCUUUAUAAACAAGUAGAGUCUCUGUGGCCUCCCUGAUGCAGACAUUUUCAUAGUCAGCUGGUAUGAGUUGAAUGUUACUUUAGCAGCUGAGCCACAAGUAUAGCAUAAUAGGCAGAAUCUACUCCUUCGAAGAAAAAGACAGUGGGAAAUGGAAGCCACAGAGGUUAAAACAGAAGUCUAGGACUAAAGUAGAGUCAGGCAGGGACAGGUAGGUAGGACAAAUUACAAAGAACUUACAAAGGUCAACUAGGUAAGAAGCAACAGAGAAGAGGUGACAGUAGAUGCAUAAUGGACCAGGAAGCAAAGUGGUACCUGGUAAGUGGCCCCAAUGGAAACGGAAGAAAAGGGCCAAUCACAAAACAGCCACAGUGCCUGAAAGGAGAUGGGGACAGCAGGAAACACUGAGCAGAAGGUUUCAGACUGGCUAUGUCCAACUCCCACUUCCCAAAGAGAGGAGCCAAAGAAGAGUCCAGAGAUUAGUGUGCAGUGAACUUUCUUGGGAUAUGAUGGCAGCAGCAGACAUCCCCACCAGGGGUCCAUUUACAGGAGUGGCUGGCUUCAGACUUGGAAACCUGUCUGCAUUCAGAAGCCUCUGUUCAUAGAUUUAUUCCAACAUUCUAAAAUGGGCUCUGGCCAAAGGGACCUCAAACGUACUCAAGGCUGAAGAUAAGGGUGUCCAAAACAAGAGCAGGGUAGCACCCAACUAUACUCCUCCCAAUGCUGAGCCAACUGACUCCUGAUUCCCUGAAUAGAGUCUCAGAAUCUGAAAGGGAGGAGCCCAGGUUCUGAGGCCAGCACGUCCCUAUAGAAGUUCUGCUGGGUGUGGUCCAGACGUCCCCACUCCUCCCGGGAGAGGUACAGAGCCACAUCUUCAAAGGUCACUGGCAUCUGAAACAACAUGAAGCAUGCUGUCCAAGCUGUGGCCAGAGUGACCGAAGACCCUAAGCCUGGAAAAUGGUAUUCAGAUUCCAGCUACACUUCAGUGAGAGUCCUGAGCAGCAGGUUCCAGAUCCAAGUGGGAAGCCCAGAGAGCACUUCUUGACAGGAAUGCACAUGACCUAGAACCUGGGAAUGACAACCCACAUCAGAACCCGGCUGGCAGAACUCACACCCACAUGCAAGAGACAGCUUGAAGGGCUGACCUCGCUUUCUCCCUCCAGUUCACCUCCCAGCAAGGAUGGAGUGGCAAGCGAUGAAAGACUUGUCAAGCCAUUGCCAUAGUACACAUAGUACUCAGGGGCACUCGACCACUGAGCCACAU
Marmota flaviventris (yellow-bellied marmot) is the source of this 1413-nucleotide long non-coding RNA. RefSeq lists it as uncharacterized. NCBI's taxonomy places the organism in Eukaryota, Metazoa, Chordata, Mammalia, Rodentia, Sciuridae. The record is from RefSeq and is a predicted model, not a curated record.